AUUGAACGCUGGCGGCAGGCCUAACACAUGCAAGUCGAAUGGUAACAGGAAACAGCUUGCUGUUUCGCUGACGAGUGGCGGACGGGUGAGUAAUGUCUGGGAAACUGCCUGAUGGAGGGGGAUAACUACUGGAAACGGUAGCUAAUACCGCAUAACGUCGCAAGACCAAAGAGGGGGACCUUCGGGCCUCUUGCCAUCAGAUGUGCCCAGAUGGGAUUAGCUAGUAGGUGGGGUAACGGCUCACCUAGGCGACGAUCCCUAGCUGGUCUGAGAGGAUGACCAGCCACACUGGAACUGAGACACGGUCCAGACUCCUACGGGAGGCAGCAGUGGGGAAUAUUGCACAAUGGGCGCAAGCCGGAUGCAGCCAUGCCGCGUGUAUGAAGAAGGCCUUCGGGUUGUAAAGUACUUUCAGCGGGGAGGAAGGGAGUAAAGUUAAUACCUUUGCUCAUUGACGUUACCCGCAGAAGAAGCACCGGCUAACUCCG
This 488-nucleotide ribosomal RNA is filed under the name uncultured bacterium. RNAcentral's name for it is "partial 16S ribosomal RNA". It matches the Rfam family "Bacterial small subunit ribosomal RNA", at positions 30 to 505 of the family's 1533-position model. The record is from RNAcentral.